UACGUAGGCAGCAAGCGUUGUUCGGAAUUACUGGGCGUAAAGAGUGUGUAGGCGGUGCUCCAAGUCUGGUGUGAAAUCUCCUGGCUUAACUGGGAGGGUGCAUUAGAAACUGGAAUGCUAGAGGAUGGGAGAGGUAAGCGGAAUUCCUGGUGUAGCGGUGAAAUGCGUAGAUAUCAGGAGGAACACCUGUGGUGUAGACAGCUUACUGGACCAUUUCUGACGCUGAGACACGAAAGCGUGGGUAGCAAACAGG
RNAcentral lists this ribosomal RNA (253 nucleotides) under uncultured bacterium. RNAcentral's name for it is "partial 16S ribosomal RNA". It matches the Rfam family "Bacterial small subunit ribosomal RNA", at positions 524 to 776 of the family's 1533-position model. The record is from RNAcentral.